RNAcentral lists this microRNA precursor (62 nucleotides) under Ornithorhynchus anatinus (platypus). Its description in RNAcentral is "microRNA oan-mir-216b precursor". Its record names the gene oan-mir-216b. Lineage: Eukaryota; Metazoa; Chordata; Mammalia; Monotremata; Ornithorhynchidae. The record is from miRBase by way of RNAcentral.
AAAUCUCUGCUGGCAAAUGUGGUGUCACGGUAGCAAUCGCACAAUUACCUGUAGAGAUUCUG